RNAcentral lists this ribosomal RNA (437 nucleotides) under uncultured bacterium. RNAcentral describes it as "partial 16S ribosomal RNA". It matches the Rfam family "Bacterial small subunit ribosomal RNA", at positions 28 to 507 of the family's 1533-position model. The record is from RNAcentral.
GAUGAACGCUGGCGGCAUGCUUAACACAUGAAAGUCGGACGGGAAGUGGUGUUUCCAGUGGCGGACUGGUGAGUAACGCGCAAGAACCUGCCCUGGGGAGGGGAACAACAACUGGAAACGGUUGCUAAUACCCCGUAGGCCUAGGGGCAAAAGGAGAACUCCGCCCGAGGAGGGGCUAACGUCGUAGCAGCUAGUUGGUGCGGUAACAACUUCCCAAGGCGAUGAUCAGUAGCAGGUCCGCUAGGACGGUCCGGCACACUGGGACUGAGACCCGGGCCACACUCCUGCCGGCGGCAGUAGGGCCGAUUCUCCCGCAGUCCGCGAUAGCCUGGCGGAUCCCUGCCGCGUGGAGGUCGAUGGCCCACGGCUCGUGAACUUCUUUUCUAGACGAAGCCACAAUGGCGGUCUCUGACGGAUAAGCCCCGUCCACCUCUGUG